GAUGAAGAACGUAGCGAAAUGCGAUAAGUAAUGUGAAUUGCAGAAUUCAGUGAAUCAUCGAAUCUUUGAACGCACAUUGCGCCCGCCAGUAUUCUGGCGGGCAUGCCUGUUCGAGCGUCAUUUCAACCAUCAAGCCCCGGGCUUGUGUUGGGGACCUGCGGCUGCCGCAGGCCCUGAAAUGCAGUGGCGGGCUCGCUGUCACUCCGAGCGUAGUAGUUACAUCUCGCUCUGGGCGUGCUGCGGGUUCCGGCCGUUAAAAGCCUUAUUUACCCAAGGUUGACCUCGGAUCAGGUAGGAAGACCCGCUGAACUUAAGCAUAUCAAUAAGCGAGGA
This 333-nucleotide unclassified non-coding RNA is filed under the name soil metagenome. RNAcentral describes it as "partial contains 5.8S ribosomal RNA, internal transcribed spacer 2, and large subunit ribosomal RNA". The stretch from base 1 to 120 matches the Rfam family "5.8S ribosomal RNA", at positions 35 to 154 of the family's 154-position model. The record is from RNAcentral.